Molecule: non-coding RNA, 208 nt
Organism: Pelobates cultripes (western spadefoot toad)
Lineage: Eukaryota; Metazoa; Chordata; Amphibia; Anura; Pelobatidae
Source: the annotation of a GenBank genome assembly
CUUACAUCAGCGAAAAAGGUAAAAUAAAACAACCUCUGUACUGCCUCUAAUCUCUCCAAUAUUCCACCAUCUGCUGACUUUUGACAUUGGCAUACCUAAGACCCAAUUGACACCACCGUCUGACAGAAACCUCUAAUGUCUUGACCUAGAGCAUUUCUCCACUAAUCUCCAAACUCUCCUUUUACCUAUCUCAAAUCUCACCUGUCCU